This 253-nucleotide ribosomal RNA is filed under the name uncultured bacterium. RNAcentral's name for it is "partial 16S ribosomal RNA". It matches the Rfam family "Bacterial small subunit ribosomal RNA", at positions 524 to 776 of the family's 1533-position model. The record is from RNAcentral.
AACGUAGGACGCGAGCGUUAUCCGGAGUUACUGGGCGUAAAGCGCGGGCAGGCGGUCUGACAAGUCUGAUGUGAAAUCUCCGGGCUUAACCGGGAGAGGCCAUUGGAAACUGACAGGCUGGAGGGCAGUAGAGGUAGGCGGAAUUCCGGGUGGAGUGGUGAAAUGCAUAGAGAUCCGGAGGAACACCAGAGGCGAAGGCGGCCUACUGGGCUGCACCUGACGCUGAGCCGCGAAAGCCAGGGGAGCGAACGGG